AUGGACGCACGGAAUAUGAAGAACAAGGGUGUUAGCUUACUUGCAAAGUGGAAAAAGGUUUCAAAAGAAAAGAAAAAACUUCUGCAUCCACCGCAAGAGCGUCUAAAGAGCUUCGCCCAAAGGCUAGCUGAGGGCACAAAGGGUGGCAUUUUGCUGCUUUGGAACGACUCCGCGGUCACGGUGAGAAAUGUGCCAAUUGGUGUCUUUUUCCUCUCUGCGACGAUUGCCAUCAACAACUAUGACGAUGAAAAAUCUUUUAAGCUAACCUCAGUCUAUGGCCCAACCCGUAGCAUUCACAAGAAGGCUUUCUACCUUGAGCUGAUUUCGGAAAAGCCUCCACCUGGAACCAAAUGGCUUGUCAAUGGUGAUUUUAAUCAAAUCUACCGUGCAAGGGACAAAAACCGAACCAAUGUGGACCGUGGUUGUCUUGUGCCUUUUUGCAACGCCGUGAACAAUUGUGUGCUCAAGGAGAUACACAUGCAAAAUAGGAAAUUUACUUGGAGCAACGAGCAAAUUUGCCACCCACAUUCUGCAUGCCCUCUCCUCAUCGCUUUCGGAUCAUUGCCCCCUUCUGGACGAAAGAAGCCUAAAUCUUUCCAGUUUGAAAACUUCUGGACAAAGAUGCGGGGAUUCCAACGAGUCUUCACUGAGGCAUGGAAUGAGAAUUCCGAUCACAUCGAGCCUUACCAGCGGAUUUUCCACAAGCUAAAGAGAACAGAACAAAAGUUGCGCUCCAGGAGCAAGACCCUUGUUUCUAACUCCAGAAAACGACAAAACUCGAGGAUUACAAAUCUUAAAGAAGGAGAUGCCAACACGCGCUACUUCCACCUCCGUGUCAAUCACCGCAGGAUAAAAACCUUAUUCAUCUCCUCAAGCACAAUCAGGGUUGGAUGCUUGCAUCGUAACAAGACCGCGGUUCUCCUGUUCAAGCUCGGCAUCAAGAAAAAGUUUGAUUCGAUGUGUUGGGACUACCUCCUGGACUUGCUGAAUCAUCUAGGCGGACGUCAGUUCUUUGCCGACACCCUCAGGAACUUUGGAGAAAAUUCUGGAUUGGUAACAAAUUACUCCAAGAGCUUGGUGGCCAACAUUAGAUGUGAAAAUAUGGAUCUUCUGGAUAUUCUCCAAUCUUUCUCGGCACAACGAACCACCUUCCGGAUGAAGUACCUUGGCUUACCUCUAUUAGGGAAGCGCCCGGAAAGAAUUCACUUUCUGCCUCUCGAGGACAAGAUCGUGGCCCAGCUCCCUCCUUGGAUGGGAAAGCAGGUUGCCGCCCCUAGAAGGAUGGUUCUUAUUAAGUAUGUCAUCACUGCCAUCGCCAUCUAUUAUAUGACGGCCCUAAAUCUUCCGGUGGAAGUUUUGAAAAAGAUUGAUGCUCUUCGACGUGCCUAUCUUUGGGCUGGCUGUGACAAGGUCGCGAGAGGGAAAUGUAAGGUCAAAUGGGAGCAAGUUUGCAACAAAACCUUCAUCAAGCCUUGGUCGGGCUUGGGCACCCGUUGCGACAAGAAUGUUCGGAGCAUCUUCGCAUCGGCCUCCAAUGUUCAGGUGGGUGAUGGCCUCCAUGCAACUUUCUGGGAGUCAGCUUGGCUGUAUGGCAUAAGACCCAAAAACAUUGCUCCCAAAAUUUUUGACAUCUCCAACAAAAAGAAUUGUUCAGUCAAUAAGGCAUUGCUAAACGACUACUGGAUCUCCCAGGUGAAGGUUGCUUCGGUCAUCUCCUCUGAGCACAUUGCCCAAAGCGAAACGCUGGAGCUUUUCACAACACGGCCGUCUCGGUGGGAGUGUUGGUCGCCAGGAUAA
This 1797-nucleotide ribosomal RNA is filed under the name Triticum aestivum (bread wheat). Its description in RNAcentral is "partial small subunit ribosomal RNA". Lineage: Eukaryota; Viridiplantae; Streptophyta; Magnoliopsida; Poales; Poaceae. The record is from RNAcentral.